CCUACGGGUGGCAGCAGUGAGGAAUAUUGGUCAAUGGUCGGGAGACUGAACCAGCCAAGCCGCGUGAGGGAGGAAGGUACAGAGUAUCGUAAACCUCUUGUGUCAGGGAACAAAGACUGGGACGCGUCCCCGGAUGAGUGUACCUGAAGAAAAAGCAUCGGCUAACUCAGUGCAAGCAGCAGCGGUAAUCGGGAGGAUGCGAAUGUUAUCCGGAUUUAUUGGGUUUAAAGGGUGCGCUGUCGGGCUGGUAGGUCACCGGUCAAAGCCCGGGGCUCAACCCCGGCCCGCCGUUGAAACUGGCAGUCUCGAGUUGGAGAGAAGUAUGCGGAAUGCGCGGUGUAGCGGUGAAAUGCAUAGAUAUCGCGCAGAACUCCGAUUGCGAAGGCAGCAUGCCGGCUCCACACUGACGCUGAGGCACGAAAGCGUGGGUAUCGAACAGGAUUAGAUACCCUUGUAGUC
RNAcentral lists this ribosomal RNA (459 nucleotides) under uncultured bacterium. RNAcentral describes it as "partial 16S ribosomal RNA". It matches the Rfam family "Bacterial small subunit ribosomal RNA", at positions 338 to 795 of the family's 1533-position model. The record is from RNAcentral.